Molecule: long non-coding RNA, 294 nt
Filed under: Homo sapiens (human)
Lineage: Eukaryota; Metazoa; Chordata; Mammalia; Primates; Hominidae
Description: non-protein coding lnc-LRMDA-8:1
Source: RNAcentral
AUCUAAACAGCCCUCCUAUAGCAGCUCCCCACUGCAGGUGGCCAGACAGGAGUUUUAGACCAGUGUUGUCUCACGGAACAUUGACACAGCAGCCAAGUUGAUUGGUGCUGGGGCAGCCACAGUAAGUGUGGCUGGUUCAGGGGUUGGCAUUGGAACAGUGUUUGGUAGCUUGAUCAUUGGCUAUGCCAGAAACCCGUCUCUCAAGCAGCAGUUCUUCUCCUGUGUCAUUCUGGGCUUUGCCUGGGGACUUGGGGCUCUUCGGUUUGAUGGCUGCCUUCCUCAUCCUCUUUGCCC